Molecule: long non-coding RNA, 228 nt
Organism: Lingula anatina
Lineage: Eukaryota; Metazoa; Brachiopoda; Lingulata; Lingulida; Lingulidae
Source: RefSeq, a predicted model, not a curated record
CUCGUGGUUGAUAACUGAGGAGACUGGACCCUGACCUUCACCUUGAAUUGAGCUUGACAUCUGGCGGUGGUAUAUUCAUUAUCCACGCAAUAGAAGCACUUAACGCAAGAGAGACUUUGAAGAGCAGACCACUGAACCUUAAAGUUUGUGUACAGAGGCCACAGAAGUACCUAUGAUUAGUUGCUAAAGGCCAUGUCACACCUAGCGUAAAGAGAUGUGUAGGGAUAU